Molecule: long non-coding RNA, 561 nt
Organism: Rosa chinensis
Lineage: Eukaryota; Viridiplantae; Streptophyta; Magnoliopsida; Rosales; Rosaceae
Exons: 3
Source: RefSeq, a predicted model, not a curated record
AUUUUCGUAAUCUCCUCCUCCCCCUGAUCAUCCCCAUGUAAGUCUUUCAUCACGAUUUUGUGUGUAGAACGCUAGAUCAAGGUUUGACUUUUUCGACGUCCCUGAUUUGAUCUAGGAUCUGAUCGUGCGUCCGAGAUUUAAUCCAACUUCAAAGCUUGAUCUAGGACUAUCUAGGCCGAACCAGACUUAGCUCCAGGUACUUGACGGUUUGAGUUGACGAGCGUUUGGAAUAUCGUUAUAUUUGACUUUUUAGAAGACGCAGCUGGAUUAGAGCGGGUAAUCUCACAGGUCAGGAGAAUCAGGCAGUGAUCGUGCAGUUUAGAGUACUAGUAUUAGAUUUACAGCAAUUGUUUUGUGAGGAGAAUUAUACUCAUUUGAGUUUUACAAUUUGAUUUGGUGAGAGUGUGCUGUAAUAAGUAGCUCGAGGAUUUGGUUUAUGUAAUAUCAAGAGGUGUAACUAGUGGUUGUUUAUGAGAGAAAAAUUCAGAACGUUAUUUGUAUUGUUAUUAGUCAUGUUUCGGAUUUGAAUCCUUAUUUCAAAAUUCGGGGUGUGACAUUUAU